AGAGUUUGAUCCUGGCUCAGGAUGAACGUUGGCGGUGUGCCUAAUACAUGCAAGUCGAACGGUGACUAUUUUGUAGCAAUACGAAUGAAAUCAUAGUGGCGAACGGGUGAGUAACGCGUUGGUGAUCUGCCUCGAAGUGUGGAAUAACUUCCCGAAAGGGUAGCUAAUACCGCAUACUCUCUCAAGGUUUAAAAAAUUGAGAGUAAAGGAUUUAUUCGCUUCGAGAGGAGCCUGCGUCCCAUCAGCUAGUUGGUAGGGUAAUACCCUACCAAGGCAAUGACGGGUAGGGGACCUGAGAGGGUGCCCCCCCACAAUGGAACUGAAACACGGUCCAUACACCUACGGGUGGCAGCAGUAGGGAAUAUUAGAAAUGGGCGAAAGCCUGAUCUAGCAACACCGCGUGUGCGAUGAAGGCCUUCGGGUUGUAAAGCACUUUUUGGAGGGAAUAGGAAGGAAGGUACCUCCAGAAUAAGUCUCGGCUAACUACGUGCCAGCAGCCGCGGUAACACGUAGGAGGCAAACGUUAUCCGGAUUCACUGGGCGUAAAGCGCGUGUAGGUGGUUCUGUAAGUAGGGCGUGAAAGCUCCCGGCUCAACUGGGAGAGGCCGUACUAAACUGCAGAGCUAGAGGAUGGUAGAGGGAGGUAGAAUUCCAGGUGUAGUGGUGAAAUGCGCAGAUAUCUGGAGGAACACCAGUGGCGAAGGCGGCCUCCUGGACCAUUCCUGACACUCAGACGCGAAAGCUAGGGUAGCAAACGGAAGGAGAGACUCCGGUAGUCCUAGCCCUAAACGAUGCAGAAUAGGCGUCGGCGGUUUUAAUCACCGUCGGUGUCCAAGCUAACGCGAUAAGUCUGCCGCCUGAGGACUACGGCCGCAAGGCUAAAACUCAAAGGAAUUGACGGGUCCCCGCACAAGCAGCGGAGCGUGUGGUUUAAUUCGAUGCUCCGCGAAGAACCUUACCUGGGUUUGACAUAACAGUGGUAGAGAAGUGAAAACGGAUCGACCCUUCGGGGAGCUGUUACAGGUGUUGCAUGCCUGUCGUCAGCUCGUGUCGUGAGAUGUUCGGUUAAGUCCGCUAACGAGCGCAACCCGCGCUGUGUGUUACAAGUGUCACACAGUACCGCCGGUAUUAAGUCGGAGGAAGGUGCGGAUGACGUCAAGUCAGCAUGACCUUUAUAUCCAGGGCUACACACACGCUACAAUGGUCAGAACAAUAGGUUGCCAAGCCGCAAGGCGGAGCCAAUCCUCCAAAUCUGGCCUCAGUUCAGAUUGCAGGCUGCAACUCGCCUGCAUGAAGUCGGAGUUGCUAGUAACCGCAGGUCAGCAUACUGCGGUGAAUACGUUCCCGGGGAUUGCACUCACCGCCCGUCA
RNAcentral lists this ribosomal RNA (1370 nucleotides) under uncultured bacterium. Its description in RNAcentral is "16S ribosomal RNA". It matches the Rfam family "Bacterial small subunit ribosomal RNA". The record is from RNAcentral.